Molecule: long non-coding RNA, 978 nt
Filed under: Coffea arabica (coffee)
Lineage: Eukaryota; Viridiplantae; Streptophyta; Magnoliopsida; Gentianales; Rubiaceae
Description: long non-coding RNA (CARA_LNC005051)
Source: RNAcentral
GCUUUUAUUUCUUCCUUUUUUUCAGAACAUUUUUCUGUUUUCCCUUUCCCCUUUGAUUUUCCUUUCUUUUUCUUGCCCUAUCAAUCCCGCCAACACUACCCUUUCAUUGCUGCCAUCAUCUCGCUAUCACCAUCUCGCCAUCUUCAUUUUCAACAGCAUCUCUAUCACCGUCGAUCUAGACUCAUGACUUUUUCAUGUGUUCUUCUGUAAAAUUAAGAACCUAAAUCUAAGCAGCAACUUUUUUUGGAGACUUGGAUUGCUUAGUCUCUUUCUCCUCUGAAUCAUUAGUUUAUUAGGCAACAAAACCGGCUCUUUCGUCUGUAUCUUCAUCACCAAUCGUUCGAAGGUCUCGGCCCCAUCGCAGUUGAUUAGGAGGCUCUGUCUCUCAGUAUUCCAAGCAAGCCAAGAGGGUCUUCACUCUCCAAUUACAUGAAGGCAGUGGAUCUCGAUUUCUCCUCCUUGCCCGCCAGUUGAUUUUUCUUUUUUUGCUUCCCUUUUCCUUUCCUUCCAUCCGUCCUUCAACUGACACCACCGACAAAUGGCCAUCGUCAGAUCUAAUUUUGCUAUUCAUGUUUCUAUUGAAUUUGGGAUUAAUUUGAAGUUGAUAGCAGAGCCACUAUGUGAUUGAUAUGUUGAAGGCUUUUGGUGUUAGGUUGGGAUCAUUGAUUGAGAAUUUUUUGUUAAUAUUUUGAGACUAUUAGAUUGAGAAUUUUUGUUGUUAUUUUGCGCUCUAUCUAAUUGGAAAUUUUUUGGUGUUAUUUUGGGAUCAUUGAGCGUUGAAAUUAGUGAUGAUUGGUGGUAGAGUUGCUGGUGAUUGGUGGCGAUGGUGGAGCUACUAGUGAUCGGUGGUGGUACUGAUGAUGAUUGGUAUUCACCAGUGUCGUUGACCAUUUUGGUGUUAUUGACCAAUUUGGUAGUGAGCAGGGAAGAAAUGGAGAAGGAAAAUAAACCAAAAAAAGGAAAGGAAAUGACAAAAAA